AACGAACGCUGGCGGCGUGCCUAACACAUGCAAGUCGUGCGAGAAAGUUCCUUCGGGAGCGAGUAAAGCGGCGCACGGGUGAGUAACACGUAGGUAACCUGCCCCCCAGUCUGGAACAACUAGAGGAAACUCUAGCUAAUGCCGGAUGAGACCACGAUCCCUUCGGGGGUUGCGGCCAAAGAUGGCCUCUACUUGUAAGCUAUCGCUGAGGGAUGGGCCUGCGGGCCAUUAGCUUGUUGGUGAGGUAACGGCUCACCAAGGCUGUGAUGGCUAGCUGGUCUGAGAGGAUGACCAGCCACACUGGGACUGAGACACGGCCCAGACUCCUACGGGAGGCAGCAGUGGGGGAAUAUUGGACAAUGGGCGGAAAGACCUGAUACCAGCCAUGCCGCGUGAGUGAUGAAGGCCUA
RNAcentral lists this ribosomal RNA (410 nucleotides) under uncultured bacterium. RNAcentral describes it as "bacterial SSU rRNA". It matches the Rfam family "Bacterial small subunit ribosomal RNA", at positions 29 to 418 of the family's 1533-position model. The record is from RNAcentral.